RNAcentral lists this unclassified non-coding RNA (145 nucleotides) under uncultured fungus. Its description in RNAcentral is "sequence contains ITS1". Lineage: Eukaryota; Fungi. The record is from RNAcentral.
UUAACUUAUUAUAAAGACUCAGACUGAAGGUUCAGAAUUGGCCUCCGGCGCCGGAGCGCCGAAGCAACGAAGGGGGUACACAUGGGUUGGAGUUCGGCCGAAGCCAAUCUCUGUAAUGAUCCUUCCGCAGGUUCACCUACGGAAA